UUGCUUCAGCAGCACAUAUACUAAAACUGGAGUGAUACAGAGAAAAUGAGCAUGGCCUCUGUGCAAAGAUGACAUACAUACAAAUUCAUGAAGCGUCCCAUAUUUUU
Phyllostomus discolor (pale spear-nosed bat) is the source of this 107-nucleotide small nuclear RNA. The record is from RefSeq and is a predicted model, not a curated record. NCBI's taxonomy places the organism in Eukaryota, Metazoa, Chordata, Mammalia, Chiroptera, Phyllostomidae.